GAUGAACGCUGGCGGCGUGCCUAAUACAUGCAAGUCGAGCGAACAGAUGAGGAGCUUGCUCCUCUGACGUUAGCGGCGGACGGGUGAGUAACACGUGGAUAACCUACCUAUAAGACUGGGAUAACUUCGGGAAACCGGAGCUAAUACCGGAUAAUAUAUUGAACCGCAUGGUUCAAUAGUGAAAGACGGUUUUGCUGUCACUUAUAGAUGGAUCCGCGCCGCAUUAGCUAGUUGGUAAGGUAACGGCUUACCAAGGCAACGAUGCGUAGCCGACCUGAGAGGCUGAUCGGCCACACUGGAACGGAGACACGGUCCAGACUCCUACGGGAGGCAGCAGUAGGGAAUCUUCCGCAAUGGGCGAAAGCCUGACGGAGCAACGCCGCGUGAGUGAUGAAGGUCUUCGGAUCGUAAAACUCUGUUAUUAGGGAAGAACAAAUGUGUAAGUAACUAUGCACGUCUUGACGGUACCUAAUCAGAAAGCCACGGCUAACUACGUG
This 497-nucleotide ribosomal RNA is filed under the name uncultured bacterium. RNAcentral describes it as "partial 16S ribosomal RNA". It matches the Rfam family "Bacterial small subunit ribosomal RNA", at positions 28 to 507 of the family's 1533-position model. The record is from RNAcentral.